RNAcentral lists this ribosomal RNA (487 nucleotides) under uncultured bacterium. RNAcentral describes it as "partial 16S ribosomal RNA". It matches the Rfam family "Bacterial small subunit ribosomal RNA", at positions 54 to 523 of the family's 1533-position model. The record is from RNAcentral.
CAUGCAAGUCGUGCGGUCCUUCUCGAUGGCGAGCUUGCUCAAAAUCGCGGUUCGGGAUAGCGGCGAACGGGUGAGUAACGCGUGGGCAACCUGCCCCAAAGACUGGGACAACUACUCGAAAGGGUAGCUAAUACCGGAUACCUUUAUUGAUACGCAUGUAUUUAUAAAGCAAGCCUUCGGGCGCUUGGGGAUGGGCCCGCGUUCCAUUAGCUUGUUGGUAAGGUAACGGCCUACCAAGGCUGCGAUGGAUAGCCGGCCUGAGAGGGCGACCGGCCACACUGGGACUGAGAUACGGCCCAGACUCCUACGGGAGGCAGCAGUGGGGAAUAUUGCGCAAUGGGCGAAAGCCUGACGCAGCAACGCCGUGUGGACGAUGAAGGCCUUCGGGUUGUAAAGUCCUGUCACAGGGGACGAAGCCCUAACUUGUUUAGGGUGACGGUACCCUGAAAGGAAGCCCCGGCUAACUACGUGCCAGCAGCCGCCGUAA